This 253-nucleotide ribosomal RNA is filed under the name uncultured bacterium. RNAcentral describes it as "partial 16S ribosomal RNA". It matches the Rfam family "Bacterial small subunit ribosomal RNA", at positions 524 to 776 of the family's 1533-position model. The record is from RNAcentral.
UACAGAGGGGGCAAGCGUUGUUCGGAAUUACUGGGCGUAAAGGGCGCGUAGGCGGCCUGUUAAGUCGAACGUGAAAUCCCCGGGCUCAACCCGGGAACUGCGUCCGAUACUGGCAGGCUUGAAUCCGGGAGAGGGAUGCGGAAUUCCAGGUGUAGCGGUGAAAUGCGUAGAUAUCUGGAGGAACACCGGUGGCGAAGGCGGCAUCCUGGACCGGCAUUGACGCUGAGGCGCGAAGGCCAGGGGAGCAAACGGG